RNAcentral lists this ribosomal RNA (506 nucleotides) under uncultured bacterium. Its description in RNAcentral is "bacterial SSU rRNA". It matches the Rfam family "Bacterial small subunit ribosomal RNA", at positions 791 to 1300 of the family's 1533-position model. The record is from RNAcentral.
UAGUCCACGCCGUAAACGAUCAUCACUCGCUGUUGGCGAUAUACUGUCAGCGGCCAAGCGAAAGUAUUAAGUGAUGCACCUGGGAAGUACGCCGGCAACGGUGAAACUCAAAGGAAUUGACGGGGGCCCGCACAAGCGGUGGAGCAUGUGGUUUAAUUCGAUGAUACGCGAGGAACCUUACCAGGGCUUAAAUGUAGUAUGACCGGUCUGGAAACAGGCCUUCCCUUCGGGGCAGAUUACAAGGUGCUGCAUGGUUGUCGUCAGCUCGUGCCGUGAGGUGUUAGGUUAAGUCCUGCAACGAGCGCAACCCCUAUUCUUAGUUGCCAUCAAGUAAAGUUGGGAACUCUAGCGAAACUGCCGGUGCAAACCGUGAGGAAGGUGGGGAUGACGUCAAAUCAUCACGGCCCUUACGUUCUGGGCUACACACGUGCUACAAUGGUAGAGACAGAGGGCAGCCACCUGGUGACAGGGAGCGAAUCCUUAAAACUCUAUCUCAGUUCGGAUCG